Molecule: microRNA precursor, 97 nt
Filed under: Equus caballus (horse)
Lineage: Eukaryota; Metazoa; Chordata; Mammalia; Perissodactyla; Equidae
Description: mir-544 microRNA precursor family
Rfam family: mir-544 microRNA precursor family
Source: Rfam by way of RNAcentral
AUUACAUGGAGAUCUUGUUAAAACGCAGAUUCUGAUUCAGCAGGCGAGGGGUGGACCUGAGAUUCUGCAUUUCUAACAAGCUCCCAGGAGAUGCGAU